RNAcentral lists this ribosomal RNA (699 nucleotides) under uncultured Glomerales. RNAcentral's name for it is "LSU rRNA". It matches the Rfam family "Eukaryotic large subunit ribosomal RNA", at positions 38 to 633 of the family's 3401-position model. The record is from RNAcentral. Lineage: Eukaryota; Fungi; Glomeromycota; Glomeromycetes; Glomerales; Glomeraceae.
GCAUAUCAAUAAGCGGAGGAAAAGAAACUAACAAGGAUUCCCUUAGUAACGGCGAGUGAAGAGGGAAGAGCUCAAAUUUUAAAUCUAUCAUGUUGUACAUGAUCGAGUUGUAAUUUGAAGAAGCGUUUUCUCGUACUUUAUGAUCAGUAUAAGUUCUCUUGGAACAGGACAUCAUAGAGGGUGAUAAUCCCGUCUGUUACUGAUUGUGAGGUUCGUUUAUGAUACGCUUUCAAAGAGUCGAGUUGUUUGGGAUUGCAGCUCCAAAUGGGUGGUAAACAUCACCUAAGGCUAAAUAUUUGCGAGAGACCGAUAGCGAACAAGUACCGUGAGGGAAAGAUGAAAAGAACUUUGAAAAGAGAGUUAAAAAGUAUGUGAAAUUGUUGAAAGGGAAACGAUUGAAGUCAGUCGUGCAGUCAUCAAUUCAGCGGUUAACAUUUUAUGUUUCCGUGUAAUUUGGUGUCUGUUGGUUAGCAUCAAUUUUGAUUGUUAUAAAAAGGUUAAGGGGAUGUGGCUCCUUCGGGAGUGUUAUAACCCUUAGCGUAAUGUGACGAUUAGGAUUGAGGUUUGCAACGAAUACCUUUUAGGGCAGUUUCACCUGGCCUCUCGUGGAAUUAUAGAUAGUUAAGAGCAUGCUUUUACUGUUUAUGAUUCUACGAAAAGGUUGGAGUGUAAAACUAAUUCGUUAAGGAUGUUGACGUA